UACGAAGGGGGCUAGCGUUGUUCGGAUUUACUGGGCGUAAAGCGCACGUAGGCGGAUCGUUAAGUCGGGGGUGAAAUCCUGGAGCUCAACUCCAGAACUGCCUUCGAUACUGGCGAUCUUUGAGUCCGGGAAGAGGUGAGUGGAACUCCUAGUGUAGAGGUGGAAUUCGUAGAUAUUAGGAAGAACACCAGUGGCGAAGGCGGCUCACUGGUCCGGUACUGACGCUGAGGUGCGAAAGCGUGGGGGAGCAAAACAGG
Molecule: ribosomal RNA, 257 nt
Filed under: uncultured bacterium
Lineage: Bacteria
Description: partial 16S ribosomal RNA
Rfam family: Bacterial small subunit ribosomal RNA
Source: RNAcentral